CUUAAGGCAAAACAAAUGCACUGACAUGUUUUAAGAUCAGUCAGUGCACGUUUCUUUCAGUUGAAAUAGCUCAGAUUUACAUUUUAGUCUCGGACUAGACUUAAGCCUUCUCUAUGAAACCGGAGGUUAAUGUGGCUUUUGAUUUCCACUUUCCUGCAGAGUUUAGCUCCAACUUUGAUUAAACUCAACUUCCUUCAAUUAUCGAUUAAUUUCAAUAAUUAAAUUAUUCAAUUAAUCAACAUUGAUUAGCUUAAUCAGGUGUGCUAGAUUAGGGUUGGAGCUAAACUCUGAAGAAGAGUGGCCCUUGAAAACCAGUUUUGAAAUUGCCUAUUCUGUUUAUAUUUAUACAGCAGAGGAAUUGCUGCAGGAGUCAAGCAUAUCACGGCCUCUUGAAGGUAUUUUUCUAAAAUUCUAUUCUAUAAUUCAGAAUAUUAUAUUCUGAAAUUCAGAAUAUUAUAUUUAUUGUAAUUAUUAAUAAUUCUAGUUAGAGUGAAAUUUUGUUUUAUGCCACAGUUGCUUCGCAGCUCCUCGUUGAAGAGCCCCAAUGUUCGGACUCUGCAACAAAAAGUAAGUCAAGUUUUGAUUUUUAAAAAUACAGUAAUACUACACAUUCAAAGAGCAUUAUGCAAUAUUGCUUCACAGGCUAUCGCACAAAAGUCUUGCAAAGACUACAAGAAAUUGUCGAGAACCAGCAAGACAUUCUGGCCAUGCAGAGGCAGUUACUGGCUGCAGUAGCUGUGACCGCGACACAGGAAGAUGGGGAAUUCCUGGAAAAUGGGCCAUGCCAAACAGUGGAGGAUCUGCAGACCCUUGACAGGGAUUUGGAAAAUAAAAAAAAAAGGGCCAAGAUGACGAAUUACCUUCAGUCCCUUGGAGGAGCAAACCCAGGUUCAACCUUGCGCAAAAUAUUGCGCAAGGUUGCAUCAAAUGAAGUCUUGGGUGCCUACAGCCUUAAAGGGAAAAAAGGCAAACUACCCUUCCAAAACCUGAAAAUAUGCAACGUGAUCAUAGGCAAGUUAUCAGUCAUUUUCUAUAUUUAUAGCCAAUUUUUUUUGCACUUUGGAAAAUUGUUCUUGUCCCAAUGUACAUUAUUUUAAAUGAUACCAUACCUCAAAUAGCUACAAUGUUUACAUGAUAUUAUUCCUACAUCUAGGGGCAAUGCAGAAGGCGUACAAGUCUCUAAAGGCCAGUGAGACUGAAGACCUCAUUUCAAUGGUCCUAAAAUUUGCCCCACACAGGCAUUUAAAAUGGUAUGUAAUCGUGUCAGCUUUGUUUUAAUUUUCAAUAAUUCAAUGUACCUUUGAAGUGUCUUUUUCUUCUCUGAGAAAGAGUCUGAGGAAUUUAUUUGCAUCAAAAGAUACUUGAAGAGCAGAGAUACAUUGUUAACCACUAGGAUCGUGUAGACUGCACCUCCUAUAGCAGGGAUAGGCAACUUCGGUCCUGGAGGGCCGAAGCUAAACUCUGCAGGAUAGUGGCCCUCCAGGACCGGAGUUGCCUAUCCCUGUCCUAUAGUCUGUGUUAAGUGUGGAACCUGGUACCAUUCCAUUCUUUCACACUUCCUGGAGAAGAGAUUAAUUAUCUGACAUACUGUAUUGUAAAGCUCUUUUACACACAAGUUUUUUUUUGUUUGUUUGUUUGUUUUUUCUUCAAUCUCUACUGUAUAUUUAGUUGUUACAAAUGCUGGUUCUAGCCCAAUUUAGCAGAAUUUAGGGGGGUGUAUGUAACGGAGUUUAAAUAAUGCUGUUAAAUUCAUGCAUUAAUUGGGGGAAACUCGACAUUGGCUGGCUGUUGAGUCACUCGAAUUAGUGUGCGUGAUUAUUGUGGUCGGAGUUACGUCAUUACCAGCAGAGCCUCACAUCUUUUGCUGCUUGUAAGUCGCAUCAAUAAGCGCUGUGUCAAUAACCGAGUUUAGAUUCUUUUCAAGUGCAAGGUUGGACUUUAAUACUACACACAAGUUUACUUCAUUUGCCUGUCAGUUCCUGGUUCUGUCAGUCGAGUCUAAUGUGUUAUUUGCGAUGAUUAAAUGUGAUGAGUGUGUGUAUGUGUUAACCUGCUUGUGAACUCUGAAUCUCUGUUGAUUUCAUUUAAGAUUUCUGA
Long non-coding RNA from Cyprinus carpio (common carp), 2097 nucleotides. The record is from Ensembl. NCBI's taxonomy places the organism in Eukaryota, Metazoa, Chordata, Actinopteri, Cypriniformes, Cyprinidae.